Molecule: ribosomal RNA, 254 nt
Filed under: uncultured bacterium
Lineage: Bacteria
Description: partial 16S ribosomal RNA
Rfam family: Bacterial small subunit ribosomal RNA
Source: RNAcentral
CGGAGGGUGCAACGUUGCUCGGAAUUAUUGGGCGUAAAGCGCACGUAGGCGGGUCAUCAAGUCGGAUGUGAAAUCCCUCGGCUUAACCGAGGACGUGCAUUCGAAACUGAUGGCCUUGAGUACGACAGAGGAUCGCGGAAUUCCCGGUGUAGAGGUGAAAUUCGUAGAUAUCGGGAGGAACACCAGUGGCGAAGGCGGCGAUCUGGGUCGAUACUGACGCUGAGGUGCGAAAGCGUGGGGGAGCAAACAGGAUU